GUGAUUAAAUCGAGCGUGGUCCUUCAUUGACCGCUCACCCUUCUCACCAUCCACAUACAACCUGUGCACUGUUUUAGCCUGAAGCCGGUUUUUUCCGGUCCAGGUUUAUCAUUUCAUACAAAACUCUAGUUCCUUAUGAAUGUAAAACGUUUUUAAUAAACAUAAUAAA
RNAcentral lists this unclassified non-coding RNA (169 nucleotides) under soil metagenome. Its description in RNAcentral is "partial internal transcribed spacer 1". The record is from RNAcentral.